CCUACGGGUGGCAGCAGUGAGGAAUAUUGGUCAAUGGGCGCGAGCCUGAACCAGCCAAGUAGCGUGAAGGAUGACUGCCCUACGGGUUGUAAACUUUUUUUAUAAAGGAAUAAAGUGAGGCUCGUGUGCCUUUUUGUAUGUACUUUACGAAUAAGGAACGGCUAACUCCGCGCCAGCAGCCGCGGGAAUACGGAGGAUCCGAGCGUUAUCCGGAUUUAUUGGGUGUAAAGGGAGCGUAGAUGGGUUGUUAAGUCAGUUGUGAAAGUUUGCGGCUCAACCGUAAAAUUGCAAUUGAUACUGGCAGCCUUGAGUGCAGUUGAGGUAGGCGGAAUUCGUGGUGUAGCGGUGAAAUGCUUAGAUAUCACGAAGAACUCCGGUUGCGAAGGCAGCUUACUAAACUGCCACUGACAUUGAUGCUCGAAAGUGUGGGUAUCAAACAGGAUUAGAUACCCCAGUAGUC
RNAcentral lists this ribosomal RNA (460 nucleotides) under uncultured bacterium. Its description in RNAcentral is "partial 16S ribosomal RNA". It matches the Rfam family "Bacterial small subunit ribosomal RNA", at positions 338 to 795 of the family's 1533-position model. The record is from RNAcentral.